UACGUAGGGCGCAAGCGUUAUCCGGAAUUAUUGGGCGUAAAGAGCUCGUAGGCGGUUUGUCGCGUCUGCCGUGAAAGUCCGGGGCUCAACUCCGGAUCUGCGGUGGGUACGGGCAGACUAGAGUGAUGUAGGGGAGACUGGAAUUCCUGAUGUAGCGGUGAAAUGCGCAGAUAUCAGGAGGAACACCGAUGGCGAAGGCAGGUCUCUGGGCAUUACCUGACGCUGAGGAGCGAAAGUGUGGGGAGCGAACAGG
RNAcentral lists this ribosomal RNA (253 nucleotides) under uncultured bacterium. Its description in RNAcentral is "partial 16S ribosomal RNA". It matches the Rfam family "Bacterial small subunit ribosomal RNA", at positions 524 to 776 of the family's 1533-position model. The record is from RNAcentral.